GAUGAAGAACGCAGCGAAAUGCGAUACGUAAUGUGAAUUGCAGAAUUCAGUGAAUCAUCGAAUCUUUGAACGCAUAUUGCGCUCUCUGGUAUUCCGGAGAGCAUGCUUGUUUGAGUAUCAGUAAACACCUCAACUCCCUUUUCUUUUUUGAAAUUGGAGCUGGACUUGAGUGAUCCCAACGCUUUCUUCCAAGAAAGUGGCGGGUUGCUUGAAAUGCAGGUGCAGCUGAACUUUUCUCUGAGCUAUAAGCAUAUCUAUUUAGUCUGCCUAAAAAACAGAUUAUUACCUUUGCUGCAGCUAACAUAAAGGAGACUAGUUCUUGUGCUGACUGAUGCAGGAUUCACAAAGACGGCUUCGGCCGACUUUGUAAACUCGAUCUCAAAUCAAGUAAGACUACCCGCUGAACUUAAGCAUAUCAAUAAGCGGAGGA
This 430-nucleotide unclassified non-coding RNA is filed under the name soil metagenome. Its description in RNAcentral is "partial contains 5.8S ribosomal RNA, internal transcribed spacer 2, and large subunit ribosomal RNA". The stretch from base 1 to 120 matches the Rfam family "5.8S ribosomal RNA", at positions 35 to 154 of the family's 154-position model. The record is from RNAcentral.